CCCGGCCCUCCGCGGUGCCCCAGGGGUUCUCCGCGCGCCCGCUCGCGUUGGGUUCUGGUCUCGUGCAGUCCCGGAGCCUUUGUUUGAAACGAGGAGGCCACGGAGCCGAGGAUGCGGCUUUGAGCGGGCAAGGCGCCAAAAAGAAGAGAUCCAGAUCACAUUUGCGUGGUCCGGGCUCCGGUCCCCGGCCCGGCUCAGCCGGCCGGAAAGAACAAAACGAAACGGCAGGAAAAAAUCAGUAAAGAAAACCGUUGUUUUGCGCGGAAAGCCGUUGGAGUCUUCGGAAGGGGACCAGUUUUUACUCUGGUCAGCCUGGUUGUUUCUCCAUUUCUGACGUUCCCCGAAGGAGACGCUGAGGAUUGGUUGACAAAUCAGAUGUGUGGUGCACGGACGUUUCCAGCAAGGUCAACUGGAAGACUCAUGUCCAGAGUGGAGACAGCUUGCCCCAACAGGCAGAGGUGAAGCUGGCUCCGGAGACGCAUCGGGCAGAGGGUGGUGGCGCCAAGCUUGGUGGAGCCCAGUUAAAUCUGGCACAUCUGUCCCAGGCCUCCUGAUGGUUGGAAGGUAAGGCUCCCACCAUCCUGUUAUGUGGCUUAGAAAGGGAAGCAGCUUGGCCAAAGUCACACAGU
RNAcentral lists this long non-coding RNA (629 nucleotides) under Vombatus ursinus (common wombat). RNAcentral describes it as "lncRNA (ENSVURG00010002334.1)". The record is from RNAcentral. Lineage: Eukaryota; Metazoa; Chordata; Mammalia; Diprotodontia; Vombatidae.